RNAcentral lists this small RNA (36 nucleotides) under Acididesulfobacillus acetoxydans. Its description in RNAcentral is "CRISPR spacer". The record is from RNAcentral. Lineage: Bacteria; Bacillati; Bacillota; Clostridia; Eubacteriales; Peptococcaceae.
UAUCGAUAAUAUUCCAAGGAUAAUAAGGGGAAGGAG